AUCACUUGGGAAUCUUGUUAAAAUGCACACUCUGAUUCCAGUGAUCUGAGGUAGGACUUAAGAUUCUGUAUUUCCAACAAGUUCCUGGGUGAUGCUGA
RNAcentral lists this microRNA precursor (98 nucleotides) under Felis catus (domestic cat). Its description in RNAcentral is "mir-544 microRNA precursor family". It matches the Rfam family "mir-544 microRNA precursor family". Lineage: Eukaryota; Metazoa; Chordata; Mammalia; Carnivora; Felidae. The record is from Rfam by way of RNAcentral.